RNAcentral lists this ribosomal RNA (119 nucleotides) under Crocodylus porosus (Australian saltwater crocodile). The record is from RNAcentral. Lineage: Eukaryota; Metazoa; Chordata; Crocodylia; Crocodylidae.
ACCUAUGGCCAGACCAGACUGAAUUGACUUGAUCCCAUCUGAUCUCAAAAGCAAAGUAGUCCUGGGCCUAGUUAAUACUUGGAUGGGAGACCACCUGGGAAUCCUGGGUGGCAUAGGCA